RNAcentral lists this Y RNA (85 nucleotides) under Carlito syrichta (Philippine tarsier). RNAcentral describes it as "Y RNA (ENSTSYG00000025561.1)". It matches the Rfam family "Y RNA". From Rfam's summary of the family: Y RNAs are components of the Ro ribonucleoprotein particle (Ro RNP), in association with Ro60 and La proteins. The Y RNAs and Ro60 and La proteins are well conserved, but the function of the Ro RNP is not known. In humans the RNA component can be one of four small RNAs -- hY1, hY3, hY4 and hY5. The record is from Rfam by way of RNAcentral. Lineage: Eukaryota; Metazoa; Chordata; Mammalia; Primates; Tarsiidae.
GGCUGGCCUGAGUGCAGUGGCAUUUACAACUUACAGAUUUCUUUGUUACUUCUCCAUUCCCACUGCUUCAUUUGACUAGCCUUAA